RNAcentral lists this ribosomal RNA (468 nucleotides) under uncultured bacterium. RNAcentral describes it as "partial 16S ribosomal RNA". It matches the Rfam family "Bacterial small subunit ribosomal RNA", at positions 28 to 507 of the family's 1533-position model. The record is from RNAcentral.
GACGAACGCUGGCGGCGUGCUUAACACAUGCAAGUCGAACGGAAAGGCCCUGCUUUUGUGGGGUGCUCGAGUGGCGAACGGGUGAGUAACACGUGAGUAUCCUGCCCUUGACUUUGGGAUAACUUCAGGAAACUGGGGCUAAUACCGGAUAUGAGCUCCUGCUGCAUGGUGUGGGUUGGAAAGUUUCGGCGGUUGGGGAUGGACUCGCGGCUUCUCAGCUUGUUGGUGGGGUAGUGGCUUACCAAGGGUUUGACGGAUAGCCGGCCUGAGAGGGGAACCGGGGACAUGGGGACUGAGAGACGGACCAGACGCAAACGGGAGGCAGCAGGGGGGAAUAUUGCAGAAUGGGGGGAAGCCUGAGGCAGAAACGCCGCGAGCGGGAUGAAGGCCUUCGGGUUGUAAACCGAUUUCGAAUGUGACGAAGCGGGAGUGACGGUAAUGGGUAAAGAAGCACCGGCUAACUACGUG